ACGUAGGGGGCGAGCGUUGUUCGGAUUUACUGGGCGUAAAGAGCGCGUAGGUGGUUCGAUAAGUCGGAGGUGAAAUCCCUCGGCUCAACCGAGGAUCCGCGUCCGAUACUGUCGGACUUGAGUGCAGGAGAGGAGAGCGGAAUUCCCAAUGUAGCGGUGAAAUGCGUAGAUAUUGGGAGGAACACCGGUGGCGAAGGCGGCUCUCUGGACUGCUACUGACACUGAGGCGCGAAAGCUAGGGGAGCAAACGG
Molecule: ribosomal RNA, 251 nt
Filed under: uncultured prokaryote
Description: partial 16S rRNA
Rfam family: Bacterial small subunit ribosomal RNA
Source: RNAcentral